RNAcentral lists this ribosomal RNA (253 nucleotides) under uncultured bacterium. Its description in RNAcentral is "partial 16S ribosomal RNA". It matches the Rfam family "Bacterial small subunit ribosomal RNA", at positions 524 to 776 of the family's 1533-position model. The record is from RNAcentral.
UACGAAGGGGGCUAGCGUUGUUCGGAAUUACUGGGCGUAAAGCGUGCGCAGGCGGCUUCUCAAGUCAGGGGUGAAAGCCCAGAGCUCAACUCUGGAAUUGCCUUUGAGACUGAGUGGCUUGAGUACGAGAGAGGUGAGUGGAAUUCCCAGUGUAGAGGUGAAAUUCGUAGAUAUUGGGAAGAACACCGGUGGCGAAGGCGGCCAUCUGGACGACAAUUGACGCUGAGACGCGAAAGCGUGGGUAGCAAACAGG